This 540-nucleotide ribosomal RNA is filed under the name uncultured delta proteobacterium. Its description in RNAcentral is "bacterial SSU rRNA". It matches the Rfam family "Bacterial small subunit ribosomal RNA", at positions 1 to 523 of the family's 1533-position model. Lineage: Bacteria; Deltaproteobacteria. The record is from RNAcentral.
UAGAGUUUGAUCCUGGCUCAGAUUGAACGCUGGCGGCAUGCUUUACACAUGCAAGUCGAACGAGCAAAGGGGCUUCGGCCCUGAGUAAAGUGGCGCACGGGUGAGUAACACGUAGGUAACCUGCCUCUAGGAUUGGGAUAACCUGUCGAAAGAUGAGCUAAUACCAAAUAAGACCACAGUUUCCUUGGAAGCAGCGGUCAAAGGUAGCCUCUACAUGUAAGCUAUCGCUUAGAGCUGGGCCUGCGUACCAUUAGCUAGUUGGUGAGGUAACGGCUCACCAAGGCUAAGAUGGUUAGCUGGUCUGAGAGGAUGAUCAGCCACACUGGAACUGAGACACGGUCCAGACUCCUACGGGAGGCAGCAGUGGGAAUAUUGCGCAAUGGGCGAAAGCCUGACGCAGCAACGCCGCGUGAGUGAUGAAGGCCUUCGGGUCGUAAAGCUCUGUCGGAGGGAACGAAUGCUCUUGAGGUUAACAGCCUCGGGAAGUGACGGUACCCUCAAAGGAAGCACCGGCUAACUCUGUGCCAGCAGCCGCGGUAA